Molecule: non-coding RNA, 83 nt
Organism: Ilyonectria destructans
Lineage: Eukaryota; Fungi; Ascomycota; Sordariomycetes; Hypocreales; Nectriaceae
Source: the annotation of a GenBank genome assembly
GCGUAAUUGGUUUAGUGGUAAAAUUCUCCGUUGCCAUUCGAGCAACGUUCGGGGAGCCCUGGGUUCGAUUCCCAGAUUACGCA